RNAcentral lists this ribosomal RNA (341 nucleotides) under uncultured Candidatus Brocadia sp. RNAcentral's name for it is "bacterial SSU rRNA". It matches the Rfam family "Bacterial small subunit ribosomal RNA", at positions 478 to 817 of the family's 1533-position model. Lineage: Bacteria; Pseudomonadati; Planctomycetota; Candidatus Brocadiia; Candidatus Brocadiales; Candidatus Brocadiaceae. The record is from RNAcentral.
GCUCCGGAGGAAGCCACGGCUAACUCUGUGCCAGCAGCCGCGGUAAUACAGAGGCGGCAAGCGUUGUUCGGAAUUAUUGGGCGUAAAGAGCACGUAGGCGGCUGUGUAAGUCGGUUGUGAAAGCCUUCCGCUUAACGGAAGAACGGCAUCCGAUACUGCAUAGCUUGAGUGCGGGAGGGGAGAGUGGAACUUCUGGUGGAGCGGUGAAAUGCGUAGAUAUCAGAAGGAACACCGGCGGCGAAGGCGACUCUCUGGUCCGUAACUGACGCUGAGUGUGCGAAAGCUAGGGGAGCAAACGGGAUUAGAUACCCCGGUAGUCCUAGCCGUUAACGAUGGGCACU